UACAGAGGGUGCGAGCGUUGUCCGGAAUCACUGGGCGUAAAGGGCGCGUAGGUGGUGGCUUAAGCGUGCGGUGAAAGCUCGGGGCUCAACUCCGAGUCGGCCGUGCGAACUGGGCUCACUGGAGCAUAGUAGAGGCAGGUGGAAUUCCGGGUGUAGCGGUGGAAUGCGUAGAGAUCCGGAAGAACACCGGUGGCGAAGGCGGCCUGCUGGGCUGAUGGCUGACACUGAGGCGCGACAGCGUGGGGAGCAAACAGG
Molecule: ribosomal RNA, 255 nt
Filed under: uncultured bacterium
Lineage: Bacteria
Description: partial 16S ribosomal RNA
Rfam family: Bacterial small subunit ribosomal RNA
Source: RNAcentral